GACGAACGCUGGCGGCGUGCUUAACACAUGCAAGUCGAACGGAAAGGCCUCUUUCGGGGGUUCUCCGGGGGGCGAAGGGGGGAGUACACGUUGAUAACCCUGCCCUUGCCUUUGGGUUACCUUCAGGAAACGGGGGCUAUUCCGGGAUAGGGGCUCCUCCUCCUGGGGGGGGGUGGGAAGUUUCGGCGGUUGGGGAUGGACUCGCGGCUUAUCAGCUUGUUGGUGGGGUAGUGGCUUACCAAGGCUUUGACGGGUAGCCGGCCUGAGAGGGUGACCGGCCACAUUGGGACUGAGAUACGGCCCAGACUCCUACGGGAGGCAGCAGUGGGGAAUAUUGCACAAUGGGUGGAAGCCUGAUGCAGCAACGCCGUGUGCGGGAUGACGGCCUUCGGGUUGUAAACCGCUUUCGCUCAUGACGAAGCUUUGUGUGACGGUAGUGGGUAAAGAAGCACCGGCUAACUACGUG
This 466-nucleotide ribosomal RNA is filed under the name uncultured bacterium. RNAcentral's name for it is "partial 16S ribosomal RNA". It matches the Rfam family "Bacterial small subunit ribosomal RNA", at positions 28 to 507 of the family's 1533-position model. The record is from RNAcentral.